This 5926-nucleotide long non-coding RNA is filed under the name Musa acuminata (dwarf banana). Its description in RNAcentral is "long non-coding RNA (MACU_LNC000472)". The record is from RNAcentral. Lineage: Eukaryota; Viridiplantae; Streptophyta; Magnoliopsida; Zingiberales; Musaceae.
AACUUGAAGCCUAUAAAUACCCCUCUCAUCUCUGAUUAAAAGACACAAGCAUAGAGAGUUUAAAAGUAGAAAAACGCUGUAGAAAUCUCUUGUGAGAAUCCUCCUCUAGUCUAAGUGUUAGAAUUAUGUAAGAGAGGAGUGAGUGCUUGUAAGGGUUGUCUCCUAAACCCGAUAAAAGGAGAAGAGGGGUGUAAGAAGGAGGUUGAUCUUCGCCUAUUAAAGGAAGAUCGAUAGUGGAUGCCGAUGGCCUCGAUGGAGGAGGAAUCGGCGGAGUGGAUGUAGGUCACGACGAUCGAACCACUAUAAAAUUGGCGUGUUCUCUGGUUUGCAUUUACUUCCUGCCAUUUACAUACUGCAGACUGAAUCUUUACUUGCCUACUGCGUUCACUUCAUAAACGUACGCUUUCAAAGUUAAGUUUCCGAAAUCGGUUUUCAUCGGAAUCAGUUUUAAUCGAAACGAAAAGUUUUGAAGACGUGAUUUUACCGCUGCACUAAUUCACCCCCCCUCUUAAUGCUGACCCUGAUCCUAACAAUUGAUAUCAGAGCCUCGUGAUUUCUCAGUUGGUUUAACACCCAAGAAAAAUGACUCUUUUCGACUUUCAAGAGGGUCACUCUCUCAUUCGUCCUCCCUUUUCCAAUUGGAUGAACUACACAUAUUGGAAAACUCGAAUGAGAGUUUUCUUGCUUUCUUUGGAUUUGAACUUAUGGAACAUUGUUGAAUCCGAUUUUAAAAGGUCUUCUCUUCCAAUGAAAGAUUGGAAUGAUUUGGAGAAGAAGACAUUUUCUUUAAAUGCUAGAGCUAUGAACACUAUUUUGCGCUUUAGACAAAAACGAGUUUAAUCGGGUUUCUAUGUGCAAAACAGCUUUCGACAUUUGGCACACUCUUGAAAUCACACACGAAGGUACUAGCAAAGUUAAGGAUUCUAAAAUUAAUUUUUUAAUGCAUGAUUUUGAACUUUUUCGAAUGAAGCCUAACGAAACCAUUGUUGAUCUGUACUCCCGUUUUACGGAUGUCGUCAAUGGUUUAAAAGCUCUUGGCAAAUGUUUUUCGGAUUUUGAACUUAUAAAUAAGAUUUUGGGUUCUCUUAAUAAGAGUUGGGAUUCAAAAGUAACGACAAUUCAAGAAUCAAAAAAUUUGAAUACCUAUCCGAUUGAAGAACUAAUAGAGUCUUUGAUGACCUAUGAAAUGACGUGCAAUGCACGUAAAGAACUUGAGAACCACGUUCCAAAGGACAGGAAGGAUUUCGGACUAAAAACAAUCGAAGAGCACUCGAGCAUAAGCUCAAGUGAUAGUAAACUUGAACUACUCAUGAACUUUAAAAAGUUAAUAAAAUAAAAUUUAAAGAACAAAAAAAACGCAACUACUUGCUUUGAACGCAAGAAGAAGAACACACUUUGGGAUGAAUCGAGCUCCUCCGAAAAUGAGGAGAAAAUCAACAAAGGCGAGGUGGCAAACUACGCCUUAACGGCUUUCGACGAUGAGGUAAUCAAAAUGCCUUUAGUUUAUUUUGAAAUUACAUAAUGCUUCUCAUGACUUAUUUUUAAUUUAGUUUAAGAAAAUUAAAUAUUUUUUUGAAUUGUAUGUUUAAUGAAAAUGCAAAAAUAAAAUUAGAUCAUGCUUACCUUUCUAAUGAUUUUAAAAAUAAUCAUGAAAAAUACAUAUUUUAUGAUAAACAAACAAAAUGAUUUUGAUUGAAAAUAUGAAAUCAUGCUUGAUGAAAUAAUGUAAUAAUACUUAAUCUAUAUUUUGAAAUUAUGCUUGAUGAUCCUUGCGAUAUAUGGAUUAUCGAUUUUUACCAUAAUAAAAGUGGUUUUUUUUCGGUUUUAAAUAUGAUGCAUAUUUCUGUUUGAAAAAAAAAAAAAAAACAAAGGCAUGCUUGUAUGAAACAAACUAAAAAGAGGAAACCUUUCUCCUCGAAAAUUUUCUCUAUUUUAUUGAUUUUUUUUUUUAAAAACGAGAUUAAUGAAUCUAUUUGUAUCACUUUUUUGAAUCUCUUAAAAGUAAUGUUAAGAUUAUCAUGAUUUGAAUUUGAAAUGAGUUUUAUCAAAAUUAUGAUCUUGAUUUCUUGAAAUAACAUGAGAUUACCUUUGAUGAUCAUUUUGAUUAUUUUGAUUCAUGGAAUUUUUGAUUCAUGACUUGAUCUUUCAUUUGUUUAUGAGAUGAUUGAAAUCUUUAUACCUUUGAAUUCUUCCCUUCUCCUUUUAAUUUUUGAAAUUAUGCAUGUUAUAUGUUGGAGAUUUGAAACCAUGUUUUGAUAUCAUGUAUAUCCAAGAAAUGUUGAUUUGACAAAUUGAAUGAAUUGAAAAUGAAUAAUGAUUUUUCUCUUGAUUAUAACUUAUGAUAUUAUGAAUCAUCAUCUUGAUUUCUCGAUAUUUGAUACAUGAAAUUUUUCUAUGAAUCAAGAUUUUUUCAUGCUAUGAUUCUUCUUGGUAUUCACUAAAAAUGAUGUAUUCAAAUUAACCAUGAUAUGCUACUUGACAUCUUGAUAAUUUAUGACUUGAAUUUUAUUAUGUAAAAUUUCUUAUAUUCAUGAAAUGUUUAUCUCAUCACGAAAAUUCUCUUGAUAUUUUGAAUGUGAUGAAAUGAAAUUAAGCAUGAAAUACAAAUGAGAAGUUAAUGAUCAUGCAUGAUAGGACGUAAUGAAUUUUGACAUUUAGAUACCAUCAUUUGAAAAGCUAUGAUCAUGUUGCCAAAAUGAUAUAUCAUGAAUGCUUGAAUAUCAUGUAUGAUAUGCCCAUAAUGAUGAUUGAUUUAUUUGUAUCAUGCAUGAAGUAAGGAUACAAAUGUAAGGUUUUGAAAUUAUGCAUAUUUCAAGUUAAAACCAUAAUGAUGCACAAACAUAUUGAAAUAAGAUUGAUAAUUUACCUUUGUCAUAAUCUGAAAAUUGAUAUAAAGGGUCUUCCCUUCUUUUUGACAAUGACAACGGGGGAGAUAAAAGAUGCUAGCUCGCACAACUCAAGAAGAAAGCAAAAAAUUGCACUUCUCAAAAGAGAAGAAAGAACUUGCUUCUUGAACAUCUCAAAUUAUUAGCUUCCAUAUUGUAAAAUAAUGUAACAUUUUUUUAGCUUUGCAAAGGAAGCAAAAAUAAUCGGACUUCUUAAAAGAGAAGAAAUUGCUAUCUUAAACAUCACCAAGAAUUGCUAGCUUGAAAUCUCAAGAAGCAAAACAUGCUAAACCUACAUAUCUAGCAAAAUUUACAAACUUGCAAAACUCAAAAUUUUCACUAGCUUACAUGAUGAUAAAACUGGAGAUUAUAUUUUUCAUGUAAUGAUUUGAACUUGUAUGCUCAAACACAUGAGAAUUGAACUUCUCCUUUUUGUUGAUGACAAAAGGGGAGAAGUAUGUUGAUGUCAUGCAUGAUUUGAUCAUGACAUGUUGCUUGGAUUUUUGAAUCCAAGGGUUUCUAUCAAUAUGGCAUAUUUAUAGGAGUAGUUUGUUUAAACUCCGGGAGUUAAGGUUAACUCCGUCAUCAAUUAUUUGUCAUCAUCAAAAAGGGGGAGAUUGUUGAAUCUCGUAUUUUGAUGAUGAAACCAAUUGAUAAGUAUUUAUAUUUUAAUAUGCAUUUUGAGUGACGUAAGAUGCUUCGAUCAGGAUGAGACAAUCAAAGCAGGAAGAAUCAUAUUGUGCCGGAGGAAAACAUGUCAGAAGAUUGGACGUCGGGCUGAAGGAUCGGUCGACGUAUCGAUAGAAGGCUUCGGGUAUCGGGCCAAGAAGAGCGAAUAUUGCGCUAAGGAUAUUGGAGUUGCAAAGUCAACUGGCCGCCGAUUGGGCAAUAGGCCGCAAGAGAGAACGAUGCGCCGAAGAAUCGGACGAAGCGUCGAGGGACCAAUGACAUGCCGGACAACAUGAUUAAUGCUUAGUAUUAAUUGUCUAGAUCGAAGUGUAUUUUAUAUGUGCAGGAUUAACUACGAUAGUAAGGCAUGAAGCAAAAUGAAGUCCCGGGGUCAAGGACGUGAUUUCGUUGGGAGUUCAAGAGUUCGUCGGAAGUCCGGACGUUCGUCGAAAGUUCUGGCGGAACCAGCCGAGAAAUCUCGAAGCUUGCUAGAGAAGCUCGUCGGAACUCGCCAAGAAGAUCGUCGUGAAGUCCAAGAGCUUGCCGGGAGUUUGCCGGAACAUUGCCGGAAGAUCGCCGGAAGCUCGUCGGAAGAAUAGACUUACGGACUUGUGUAGCUCAGAUUAUGUCUUAAAUUUCGUAGUUAGCACGUAAUUGGGUUUGGAUUUGGGCCAACCCAAUUAGGGGCCAGCAAUGCCCAUGUAAAGACUGUAUUGGGCCCAAUGAGAGGCCCAAACAGUGCUCCAAGAAGUCUCACCGUCAUGGCACAGUCUUCGAGACUAUGUCAGGCGGUGGUACCGCUAGUCUGGGCGAUUGUACCGCCCUUGGCAGGGUGCUAGGCGAUGGUACCGCCCAACACAGCACCCUAGGCGAUAGUACCGCCUAGUGCAGUGUCAGUCUCAGACUGACUCUGGGCGAUGGUACCGCCCGUGCCCGGGAAACUCGGGAUGAGAUGUUUUUAGACUCGAAGUUUGAAUCAACUUGAAGCCUAUAAAUACCCCUCUCAUCCCUGGUUAAAAGACACAAGCAUAGAGAGUUUAAAAGUAGAAAAACGUUGUAGAAAUCUCUUGUGAAAAUCCUCCUCUAGUCUAAGUGUUAAAAUUCUGUAAGAGAGGAGUGAGUGCUUGUAAGGGUUGUCUCCUAAACCCGGUAAAAGAAGAAGAGGGGUGUAAGAAGGAGGUUGAUCUUCGCCUAUUAAAGGAAGAUCGAUAGUGGAUGCCGAUAGCCUCGACGGAGGAGGAAUCAGCGAAGUGGAUGUAGGUCACGACGACCGAACCACUAUAAAAUUGACGUGUUCUCUGGUUUGCAUUUACUUCCUGCCAUUUACAUACUGCAAACUGAAUCUUUACUUGCCUACUGCAUUCACUUCAUAAAUGUAUGCUUUCAAAGUUAAGUUUCCGAAAUCGGUUUUCAUCGGAAUCGGUUUUAAUCGAAACGAAAAGUUUUGAAGACGUGAUUUUACCGCUGCACUAAUUCACCCCCCCCUCUUAGUGCCGACCCCGAUCCUAACAUCAACAAUCAUUUAAAAUUACAAAUAUAAUAGAUCUUCGCUUCAUUUAGAACUUAGUUCCUCCACUGGAAAAUGAACAGUCAAAUAGUCUUCUGCAAGAAAAAAAGAACAGUCUUUUAUUACAUUAAAAGGUUUAUUAGUAGCAAUCCUCAACAUUUAUACGUGUACAUGCUAUAACCCUUCUUGUUACAUGCAGUUUAAGACAGUUUAGAGGUCAGCUCAUGCCCAAUCUGAGUUUCAAGCAUGUAUGCCUGGAAGUAUCUAAAUCAAUCAUUAUAACUAAAACCACAAAUGCAACAUCACAUUUGAUGUGUAUUUUUCACUAAAACCACUGACCUGAUACACAGAAAAAAAAAUAUAAAUCCUUUUCAGAGCAUUCCACAUGUUUACACAUGAUGGCUAUUCAAUAUAUCUAAUUUCUUGCAUAAUCACAUUUUCCUACAGUAAAUAAGAAAAAUAACAUUUACAACUUUACAGAGUUGUAAAUAAGUAUCUACAGUACCAGAAUGAUAUUCAUGACAGAUUCUGAAUUUAAAUAGGCAUCUGUAAUAUUUACAACUUUACAGACUUAACUGUGACAAUAUAAAAAAACUGCGAUAUUAUGUGUGAACAAAGGUACCUACAAGAUUUGACAAAAUAAAAUAUACUGAUGAUGCAAAAAAGCAAUAGUUUUCUAUCAAGAGAAAAAAAUAUUAAAUACACAUCCUUCGUAUCAUUUGAAGAAAAAUCUGGAAAUCAAGUCUACAAAAAAGGAAAAGUACAACAUAUGAGAUCUAUAAAUGUAUCAAUUGACUAGUAGAAUAAGUUGAUGCACAUCCACUAUGCCUAUGAAAGCCUUCCAACAUAUAGAGAAAAUAAAAAU